RNAcentral lists this ribosomal RNA (253 nucleotides) under uncultured bacterium. Its description in RNAcentral is "partial 16S ribosomal RNA". It matches the Rfam family "Bacterial small subunit ribosomal RNA", at positions 524 to 776 of the family's 1533-position model. The record is from RNAcentral.
UACAGAGGUGGCAAGCGUUGUUCGGAAUUACUGGGCGUAAAGGGCUUGUAGGUGGCCAACUAAGUCAGACGUGAAAUCCCUCGGCUUAACCGGGGAACUGCGUCUGAUACUGGAUGGCUUGAGUGUGGGAGAGGGAUGCGGAAUUCCAGGUGUAGCGGUGAAAUGCGUAGAUAUCUGGAGGAACACCGGUGGCGAAGGCGGCAUCCUGGACCAUUACUGACACUGAAAAGCGAAAGCCAGGGGAGCAAACGGG